AGACUGCUGUGCUAGCAAUCAGCGAGACUCCGUGGGCGUAGGACCCUCCGAGCCAGGCAUCAGCUAUCAAAACUUAUGGGAAAUGGAAUUGAAGACAACUACUUCUAGAAUUGGUGCAUGGAAGCUUCUCAUAGGUGAUUAGCCACACUCUUCUUCUGUCAACCUGGUGCAGAAAAGCUUGAAGACCUUGGAAAUCACAUAUUGAUGAUGGAGGAGAUACAAGAAUGAAGGACCCUGGGUUCCUGAAUCAACACUCUAAGAAGAGACUCCUUGAAAUCAAGAGCACUCAUUUUGACAUUGCAAACGGAAAAAUUCACUUCUAUCAGGGGACUGAUCGGAGUCAAACCAUAUGCUGUGGCUUUUGCUCCAUGGAAAUCUCAACUAUACUGCAAGAAUAAUUAUUCCUACUUAAUGAAGUUACAGAAGAGAAUGUGGUGCUGGACGGUACUGACUGCAUGGGGAGAGGCCAUACCACAGAAACCUCAAUCUGCCUGAGCCGUGACUCUGAGAGCUGGAGUACCACUGGACAAGGAGAGUAUGAGAGGAAAAAGCAGCUGACAAACAUACUAAGAAGAAAACAUCUGAAAUUUUAAUGAAUUUUUAAAGAUUAAAUACUGUUGAUAUCUGCUUUCCAAUAUUGCAGCAGUUUUCAAAACUGGAUAUUCCAAACACUUUGAAGAAUUUUAGCCACUUCCUG
RNAcentral lists this long non-coding RNA (697 nucleotides) under Homo sapiens (human). Its description in RNAcentral is "HSALNT0192324". The record is from RNAcentral. Lineage: Eukaryota; Metazoa; Chordata; Mammalia; Primates; Hominidae.